RNAcentral lists this ribosomal RNA (350 nucleotides) under Patella caerulea. Its description in RNAcentral is "partial 16S ribosomal RNA". It matches the Rfam family "Archaeal large subunit ribosomal RNA", at positions 1908 to 2425 of the family's 2987-position model. The record is from RNAcentral. Lineage: Eukaryota; Metazoa; Mollusca; Gastropoda; Patellidae.
GGCUCUUUGUAGAUAAAUAAAAUAAAGAGUCCGGCCUGCUCAAUGAUGAUUAAUCAUUAAAUAGCUGCGGAAUCCUAACCGUGUGAAAGUAGCAUAAUCAUUUGCCUCUUAAUUGGUGGCUGGAAUGAAUGGUACGAUGAAAAUAGAGCUGUCUCUAUUAUGUUUUAUUGAAAUUACCUUUUAGGUGAAAAGGCCUAAAUAUAUCUAUAAGACAAGAAGACCCUAUCGAGCUUUAAGUUGGUUAUGUAAAUAACUUGAUUAGCUUUUGGUUGGGGCAACCAGGGGGUAAAAGAAAUCCCUCUUUUAUUAAUUUACUUACUAGUAAAGAUCCAGUUAUAUUGAUCAAGGGA